CCUAGGGUUGUAAAGCNCUUUCAAUUGGGAGGAAAACCUGCCGGUCAAUACCCGGUAGCUUGACAUUACCUUUAGAAGAAGCACCGGCUAACUCCGUGCCAGCAGCCGCGGUAAUACGGAGGGUGCGAGCGUUAAUCGGAAUUACUGGGCGUAAAGCGUGCGUAGGUGGUUCGUUAAGUCAGAUGUGAAAGCCCUGGGCUCAACCUGGGAACUGCAUUUGAAACUGGCGGACUAGAGUUUAGUAGAGGGGAGUGGAAUUUCAGGUGUAGCGGUGAAAUGCGUAGAUAUCUGAAGGAACACCAGUGGCGAAGGCGACUCCCUGGACUAAAGCUGACGCUGAGGUACGAAAGCGUGGGUAGCAAACAGGAUUAGAUACCCUGGUAGUCCACGCCGUAAACNAUGUCGACUAGCCGUUGGUCCUAUAUACAGGAUUAGUGGCGCAGCUAACGCAUUAAGUCGACCGCCUGGGGAGUACG
Molecule: ribosomal RNA, 476 nt
Filed under: uncultured bacterium
Lineage: Bacteria
Description: bacterial SSU rRNA
Rfam family: Bacterial small subunit ribosomal RNA
Source: RNAcentral